UCAUGGCACACAUACUGCUUUUUGCUCAUCAUAACAGAUGUGUUCCAGCAAUGCUUCUCCACAGGGUGCCUUAUCCCAGCGGUGGUCCAAAUGUGUAGAACUGGGGUACUCCGCAGAAAGAGAAGGGGUGUUUCUGGGCCCCAUUCCUUCUUCAUUAAGGUCUUGGCAGCCUUAGGACUUCAGCACUAGGUCUGUGUGAACAGUCUGCUCUACUUGGUUAUGAAUCUGUUCUCUUCUUUCUUCUGCAACCCUAUACAGAGUCUACAUUAAUCGUGAACUUGGUGGGGGGUGGGGAGGUGUGAGUUCAUUGCAAACUAUUGUAAAAAGGAUCACCAUGGUCAUUAAAUAAGGUGCAUGGCGGCUGCAGGGCGAUGGAGCUACACCGCUGGCCCGUCAGGAAGGCGCCAAAGUCCUCUGAGAAUGCUGCUGCCACUAAAAUGCAGCUCUAUUCAGAGACAUUUUCCAGUCAUUUCCAAGGAAAAUCCCUUUACUUAUAUUUCCUUUAACACUAUAUUUAGCUUCAGUACUGGUCACAUCUAUUCAACUGGCAUCAAAAUAUUUAUUGUUUCCAAAACUCAAAGCCUUCCCACAGUUUGACAAUCUCAUUCCCUCAGGAUAUUCCAAAGCACGCCACACCCUCGGAAGAGAAUUUUUGAAAGAUGAAUUCCAAGAACGUUUUGAACAAAAGGACAGUUGGGUUGGAAGCAUGGUCUACCAGGGAAUCACUGGGCCAUUGGCCAAGCAGGGUGGAGGUGUUUCAGUCCAGCUCCUGUGUUUGUGUUUUGAAAAAACAUUCUACUCUGUACAACGUACACCAGGGUGAGUGAGGAGCCGUGGAUAAGAGCCAGUGCCUGGAGGGCAGCCAGGCUGUGUCCACUCUCUCUCGGAUCACGAGCGCAGCUGUGACUGGACACGUGUGACUUUCUCUAACCUGCCCCGGACAUGGGCCAUUACAGAUAGAUUCAGAAUCUCCAUCUAAAUACCUGGAUCUUCCCCACUGUCCUUAAAUGAAGUAAAAAAUAGAUCCCCACCCCCCACCCGAAGGUCCCAGGAAAAUGUCCAGUAGCCUUCUGGGGGGAAGCCUACCUUUGGCUGUUGUUAUAAAAUCAGCACAUGCCUUCUGAGAGCAUGAACGCAGUCAGUCUGACUCCAGGAGGAACAAACCCAGUGAACCUGAGACUUCGUACAACCGCUUCCUCUUUGUGUUUCCCUCUGGCAGGUUUUCACGGGAACCUGUUUGUUUGUUGAGGGUGGAUCUUUGUGAUCAUAGUUAAUUGAAAAGAAUAAGGAGGAGGAAGAGGUGGUUAAAUAGGGCAGGAAAGGUUUCAUUGACAAAUGCAGACCCCCGCGCAGUCAGGGCAGGCUGUCUCGUUCUGAACACAGAACAAUUCUAUGGAGAAGGAGGGCAACCUAUCCGUACCUUGACUGUAGAAGGCAACUGAGACGCAACAUCUCAAGGGCUUGCCCAAGAUCCCGAGACUGAGUGGGCAGGGCUGGAGGUUGGAACCAGGGUGUCUCCCUCCAAAGCCCCACGGGCUCUGUUCUCUGAGGCAGAGGGUUAUCCGGCUCUGUCAAGAGGAAUUUCCUAAGUGAUUCUGGUCUGCACACAGAUGCACUAUGUCAGGUCAGUGACGUGUCUUGCUUUUAAAACAAAACAAUAUCCCUCACAGUUGUCCUCUUGUGCGUAGAUGGUGGCAAUUUAUUGUUUGCCAAGCCUUCUAUCUCCUCCUUUCUGUGUUCCAUUGAGAUCAUGGAAAUGCAAAGUAAAUAGCCAUGGAGUAAAAUGCCUCAGAGAGUAUUUAUUUAAGAGUAUUGUUCCAGGAUAUGCACGGAGAUAAAGACUUUGUGUAAUGAAUGAGUGGCUCCCGAGGCCAAAUACCAAGCAAUCAUUUUCUGUGCCCUGCAUGUCCUGGCCAGAGGAGAUCAACUACCUCUCCCUCAGGACGUGCCCUUAAAGAGGGUCACCUUGCCAAGGUAAAGCCGGGCCUCUGAAUCCACAGGAGCAGGCAGGAGCUCAAGAAAAGGAGCUUAGAAAAACCCCCUGGGCACUGUCAGUUUGUCAAAUGUCAAGGGGCAAAGCAGACAAAGUAAAAUUAGUUCAAGAUCGAGCAACGGGGAGACCCAGCAUGGCUGCUGAGCCAGCAUGCAGAGCGUCAGGCGGGAGGGAAAGGCCUGCCUGGAAAGGGCAGCAAGGGGCAGCCAGGCAAGUCCUGCCACUGGACAACGGGCAGCAGUGAGCUUGCUCCUCCUCUCGUUCUUCAAGGGCCCAAGGAAGGGAUAGCAGGGCUUGCUCUUCAUGCCAUGCAACCUCUCCGAGAGGUCAGGGAGUGCUGCUGUUCAUGGUCUGGUGGAAUCGGUCUCCAUGCUCCCCUGUCCUCCGCAAAUGCAAGCCAACGCACACACAGACAGAACACUGAGAGCCUCGUUUGGAAUGAAAUACAAAGCAGGAAGCACACAAAUGUCUCUGCAUAUUUAAUGAUUAUUGACUUUUUAAAUUGGUUUGAAAAUAAAAGCUUUCUGGAUGAAAUACAGAUUUAGAAGGAUUACUAAAAAGUACAGCUCGUGUACCACACUUACUUUACAUGAAUUCCUCGCCUUUAUGCAUUAAGCCCUACUAUUCCCCUAAUUUCCCAUAAACAUAUAUCUGCAGUGCAAAUUGUCUUACUACUGAAAAUGCCAUCGAUGCAUUCUAAUGGUAUAAUGAGCAGAUUUUUCAUAAACAGACCUAUGUAUUCACAAUUGCAUACGGAAUGGGCUGGAAGGUGCUCAUGAAGAAAACACAACUGGGCAAGGUGCUGUCUUCUCCAGGGACCCAGGCUCAUUAUUUUACAUAAUAAGAAGGUAAAGAAUUGAGUUUUAUUGAUAUGGGAACACAUUUCAUUGUUCCUCUGAUUUAAAAUCUUCACCAAGUGAUUAGAACCCCCUUUUCAUUAAAGCGGGAUUACUGACCCUGCUUCAUUAUCAGUGUCCUGAUUCGCCCUGAGAAUCACUUUCCAUAUAGCUUCUUGUUACUUAAUUAUUACAGUGGGUAGUGAACAUAGAACUUACAUGGAUCUCUUGCUUUGUAAAAAUACACAGAAAGCAUGGUCUUUAUGUAUGGGGUGAGGAUAUAACAAAAGACUGUCUUCUUCUUUUUAAUUAGAUGGCCUUAGUGGGAGAAACCUUGAGAGCUCACAUAUGACUUUAGAGAUUUUUCAUUAGUCACAUGAUUUUGGUUGUUCAUACAUAUCACACCAGCUCUCAGGUCAGAUGGAUACUAAAGAAAUGCCCAUUGCAUAGAUGGGAAAAUCGAGAGCAUUAGAUCAGUAACUCUCCCACGAAGAGAGACUGUGCAAACUGAAAAACCAUGAGGUUCGGACAUGCUCCUGGCUUCUCAUCGGCUCCUAAACUCAAGUCAAUUAAAACAGUGGCAAAGGGUUGCAAUCAAAGUUUUUAUUAAUAUCACAUAUGGUGUUUUCAACUUCUCCUCUCUUGUUGUGGACCCAAGAAAGCUUUAUUUGUUUCUCUCCUGAGUAUUCUGUCCCACUUGGACGCUUGCCUGCUUCCCACAGAUGAUCCCUCACCUGUUGCCACGGGCGGUGCAGCUGCCAGUGAGCUCUGGUUGCUCCAGGCCACCCCCAAAGCCACAGGCAUGGCUGCCACGGGACCAGAGGGCAUGCCUUCCUUUGACACGCUCUGUCCCUUUUUCUACCUAUACUGGGAAAGGAGCACUUGCUGAUAAGUAAAGCGUCUUCUGUAACUGGACUUGAAGACAUACCACCUCUGUCCAGAGCUCUGAGCAGAUGGAGGUUUGGGAGAGAAGAUGGACACGAACUUUAACCAAAUGGAGCAAAAGACAGAUUCCAAGUAGGCAGCCAGCACAGAGCCGGGCAAAGGCCCUAGUAAAUGAGGGGCCAGGUUUUGCGCCGUUUGGGAGCAUACCAAUAGCUUGGAUAAAUUUAUCAA
Long non-coding RNA from Manis pentadactyla (Chinese pangolin), 3945 nucleotides. RefSeq lists it as uncharacterized. The record is from RefSeq and is a predicted model, not a curated record. The transcript is spliced from 3 exons. NCBI's taxonomy places the organism in Eukaryota, Metazoa, Chordata, Mammalia, Pholidota, Manidae.